UACAGAGGGGGCAAGCGUUGUUCGGAAUUACUGGGCGUAAAGGGCGCGUAGGCGGCCCGCUAAGUCGAACGUGAAAUCCCCGGGCUCAACCCGGGAACUGCGUCCGAUACUGGUGGGCUUGAAUCCGGGAGAGGGAUGCGGAAUUCCAGGUGUAGCGGUGAAAUGCGUAGAUAUCUGAAGGAACACCAGUGGCGAAAGCGGCUUCCUGGUCCAGCACCGACGUUCAGGCACGAAAGCGUGGGGAGCAAACAGG
This 253-nucleotide ribosomal RNA is filed under the name uncultured bacterium. Its description in RNAcentral is "partial 16S ribosomal RNA". It matches the Rfam family "Bacterial small subunit ribosomal RNA", at positions 524 to 776 of the family's 1533-position model. The record is from RNAcentral.